UGAUGGCGGCCACCUCACUGCGGUAUUAGGGACCCGUACCCACACCCUGCGCAAAAGCCAGGAACCUGAAGCCUGCCCUCCUCAGGCACGGCUGCAGAUACUUGAUGUCGGCAGACAGGGCUGCGCGGGCGCUGCGCCGAAGACACUAGCGGUGAUCAUCAUGAAGUUUGAAGCCGCUCCCUCCGAAUUUCGUCGACGGUUCCGCAAACAGUCACGUAUCCGUCCCGGUCAGAGGCGCGCGUUCUCACGAUAGGGAAUGGAAUGCGCGUGCACUCAGAGACUCAUGGCUACCCCCUCCCCCUCCCCCCUUCGUUCCAUCUGCCACGGCAGAGGCGGGCGAGCCUGCCAGACACGCCGCCGACGCAUGGCACCGAUGGAAACGCCAGAUGAAGACGGCGAGACCAUACCCCCUUCCCCACGGCCCGACCCGAGAAGGCCGUCGUGAAACAGGCCCCGGGGUGCGGGGAUGCGGGGACUGCGCGGGCGCGCUGCCACGCACCGCUGGGGCGCGGCGUCCCGGUGGUGGGCAGGGCAAGGGCGGCGUUCGACAGGAAACGGCGCGAAGAGGCGCCGCACGGGACAGCGCCAAAGCGGGCACGCGUGGCGUCAUAGGCGGCAUCGUCUCCAUCCGGCGGGGUGGGCUCCAUGAGGCACCGAUGCCGGAUGCACGACGUGCGCAGCCCGAGGUGCGCGAGCGGGGCUCCUCCAGACCCCCAUGCGGAGAGUCCCCGCCCCGCGCUACGGGAUGCCGCGGGCUGAGGCGACUUGGGGGACGGGGGGGGGAGGGACGCAUGGCAUACAGGCAGGAUGUGCAAGGUCGCACAGGUCCCACCCCCCGGCCUGCGGCUGGUGGCCUUCCUCCCUGAGCGCGUCCUGCAGCGCACCUGGACGGUCCACUGCCUCCGCCCUCGCGCAUGUUACCCCGGACGCGGCCCGCUUUGGCGCGAGGCAUGCAGUCCACGCCGCGUCUCCGUCGGGCGCCGAUGGCGCGGCACGCGGCCGGUGAAGGGGGCGAGGAAGGACAUGCAGAGGCCCAUAGGACGCACGGCCCGGCUCCGCGGCAGGGCGGCUCGUCCUGGACGGCGAGGGUGCAGCUGUGGUGCAUGGGCGGUAGGUGGCCUGAGGCUGUGCACGCGUGCGUUUGGUGACUUUGUCGUGGUGGAACGGAGGCCUGGAAGUAAAGCAAGGAGUUUUUGUUACCGGGACACGCGCACUGGGCCCGAACCCUCCGGCGUGCAGGGAUGCCCCCUCCCCCUUCCCCGGACUCGUCUGCCACAUCUCCACUAUCAAG
RNAcentral lists this unclassified non-coding RNA (1291 nucleotides) under Leishmania donovani. RNAcentral's name for it is "gene:unknown". The record is from RNAcentral. Lineage: Eukaryota; Euglenozoa; Kinetoplastea; Trypanosomatida; Trypanosomatidae.